This 537-nucleotide ribosomal RNA is filed under the name uncultured bacterium. RNAcentral describes it as "bacterial SSU rRNA". It matches the Rfam family "Bacterial small subunit ribosomal RNA", at positions 777 to 1319 of the family's 1533-position model. The record is from RNAcentral.
AAUAGAUACCCUGGUAGUCCACGCCCUAAACGAUGUCAACUAGCUGUUGGGGCCUUCGGGCCUUAGUAGCGCAGCUAACGCGUGAAGUUGACCGCCUGGGGAGUACGGUCGCAAGAUUAAAACUCAAAGGAAUUGACGGGGACCCGCACAAGCGGUGGAUGAUGUGGAUUAAUUCGAUGCAACGCGAAAAACCUUACCUACCCUUGACAUGUCUGGAAGCUUCGAGAGAUUGAAGUGUGCUCGCAAGAGAACCGGAACACAGGUGCUGCAUGGCUGUCGUCAGCUCGUGUCGUGAGAUGUUGGGUUAAGUCCCGCAACGAGCGCAACCCUUGUCAUUAGUUGCUACGAAAGGGCACUCUAAUGAGACUGCCGGUGACAAACCGGAGGAAGGUGGGGAUGACGUCAAGUCCUCAUGGCCCUUAUGGGUAGGGCUUCACACGUCAUACAAUGGUCGGGACAGAGGGUCGCCAACCCGCAAGGGGGAGCCAGUCCCAGAAACCCGAUCGUAGUCCGGAUUGGAGUCUGCAACUCGACUCC